UGGGGAAUAUUGGACAAUGGGGGCAACCCUGAUCCAGCCAUGCCGCGUGAGUGAUGAGGGCCUUCGGGUUGUAAAGCUCUUUUGGCGGGGACGAUGAUGACGGUACCCGCAGAAUAAGCCCCGGCUAACUUCGUGCCAGCAGCCGCGGUAAGACGAAGGGGGCAAGCGUUGUUCGGAAUUACUGGGCGUAAAGGGCGCGUAGGCGGUUUGCUUAGUCAGGCGUGAAAGCCCUGGGCUUAACCUGGGAUGUGCGCUUGAUACUGGCAGGCUUGAGUGUGGGAGAGGUUGGUGGAAUUCCCAGUGUUGAGGUGAAAUUCGUAGAUAUUGGGAAGAACACCGGUGGCGAAGGCGGCCAACUGGACCACAACUGACGCUGAGGCGCGAAAGCGUGGGGAGCAAACA
RNAcentral lists this ribosomal RNA (402 nucleotides) under uncultured bacterium. RNAcentral describes it as "bacterial SSU rRNA". It matches the Rfam family "Bacterial small subunit ribosomal RNA", at positions 355 to 774 of the family's 1533-position model. The record is from RNAcentral.